CCUACGGGUGGCAGCAGUGGGGAAUAUUGGGCAAUGGGCGCAAGCCUGACCCAGCAACGCCGCGUGAAGGAAGAAGGCUUUCGGGUUGUAAACUUCUUUUAAGAGGGAAGAGCAGCAGACGGUACCUCUUGACUCAGCCACGGCUAACUACGUGCCAGCAGCCGCGGUAAUACGUAGGUGGCAAGCGUUUUCCGGAUUUACUGGGUGUAAAGGGCGUGUAGCCGGGCUGACAAGUCAGAUGUGAAAUCCGGGGGCUCAACCCCCGAACUGCAUUUGAAACUGUUGGUCUUGAGUCCGCGGAAAGCAGGCGGAAUUCGUCGUGUAGCGGUGAAAUGCUUAGAUAUGACGAAGAACCCCGAUUGCGAAGGCAGCUUGCUGUAGCGGAACUGACGCUGAUGCUCGAAAGCGCGGGUAUCGAACAGGAUUAGAUACCCCUGUAGUC
Molecule: ribosomal RNA, 442 nt
Filed under: uncultured bacterium
Lineage: Bacteria
Description: partial 16S ribosomal RNA
Rfam family: Bacterial small subunit ribosomal RNA
Source: RNAcentral